Molecule: ribosomal RNA, 253 nt
Filed under: uncultured bacterium
Lineage: Bacteria
Description: partial 16S ribosomal RNA
Rfam family: Bacterial small subunit ribosomal RNA
Source: RNAcentral
UACGAAGGGGGCUAGCGUUGUUCGGAAUUACUGGGCGUAAAGCGCACGUAGGCGGCUUUUUAAGUCAGAGGUGAAAUCCUGGAGCUCAACUCCAGAACUGCCUUUGAUACUGGAGAGCUUGAGUCCGGGAGAGGUGAGUGGAACUGCGAGUGUAGAGGUGAAAUUCGUAGAUAUUCGCAAGAACACCAGUGGCGAAGGCGGCUCACUGGCCCGGUACUGACGCUGAGGUGCGAAAGCGUGGGGAGCGAACAGG